This 253-nucleotide ribosomal RNA is filed under the name uncultured bacterium. Its description in RNAcentral is "partial 16S ribosomal RNA". It matches the Rfam family "Bacterial small subunit ribosomal RNA", at positions 524 to 776 of the family's 1533-position model. The record is from RNAcentral.
UACGAGUGGUGCAAGCGUUAUUCGGAAUCAUUGGGCGUAAAGGGUGUGUAGGUGGCAAGCUAAGUCUGUUGUUAAAUUUCCCGGCCUAACCGGGAGAAUGCGGCGGAAACUGAUUUGCUAGAGGUUGAAAGAGAGAAGUGGAAUUCUCGGAGUAGCGGUAAAAUGCGUAGAUAUCGAGAGGAACACCGAUGGCGAAGGCAGCUUCUUGGCCUGUUCUUGACGCUGAGGCGCGAAAGCUAGGGGAGCAAACGGG